This 894-nucleotide ribosomal RNA is filed under the name Triticum aestivum (bread wheat). Its description in RNAcentral is "partial small subunit ribosomal RNA". The record is from RNAcentral. Lineage: Eukaryota; Viridiplantae; Streptophyta; Magnoliopsida; Poales; Poaceae.
AUGAGGUAUUCACCCCCUUGUUCUCCUCACCAGCCCCCGUUCCCCUCCCUCGCCUACUCCAAUCGCCCUGAUCUGGAUCGGGGUGUUACAACCUGCGGCGGCGGAGUAGGUAGGAUGCCGAAGCGAGCGGCCUCCCGAGCGCCGAUCCGCUGCCGUCGACGGAAGCGUCCGAGAUUACCUCACGAUCCGUCUCGCCCCGCGUUCGAGGCGCAGAUCCGAUCUCGGGGAAUCAAGCGAAAGAGCGAUGUGGUUGAAGCUUGCUCCUCAACCGCUCAGACGAACACUUGUUGGGGAUCAAAGCGCGUGCGCACCGCCCUCAGUUCUACUACUACGCCUGCGCUCUCCGUCCGCUCCCUAACCCCCUACCCCAAGUGGUGGUGGCGGAGUUUACAUCUGCUGUUAUUAUUCUCCAGUCCAAAGGCGCUUUCCGGCCUUGACAGGCGCGUCCAUCUAGCAGUUGAUUUUGGUCGAGAUUACUGUUGGAAUCACACCCGUUUAUUCGGAUCUCAAUCUGAUUCAUUCAGUAGCUGGGGAAGGAGGGACUGGCCGAACAUUGGCGGGGACGGGCCGGCCGGCCUGAUUGCGGAGCUCGUCCUCGCCAACGACGUGGCCGACUACAUCCGCUUCCGCGCUGUGUGCCCGCCGUGGCGCCGGUCCUCGCUGGACCCACGCUUGGUAGGUGGCCUGGAUGGCCGCUUUCUCCCCCGGCGUUGGAUCAUGCUUGACAAGGCCAUCGCUACCAGUCCCUGCUGUUACGGGCUGUUCAAUAUCUCCACCGGUGAGUGCAUUAAGACGGACCUCCCGGAGCUUGCGGAGCACAAGUUGCUCGCGCUCAUCCCCGAGGGUCUCCUCCUGCUGCUCCACGAGCCCCACCCUCCUUGCCCGUCUUCUUAA